RNAcentral lists this ribosomal RNA (497 nucleotides) under uncultured bacterium. RNAcentral's name for it is "partial 16S ribosomal RNA". It matches the Rfam family "Bacterial small subunit ribosomal RNA", at positions 28 to 507 of the family's 1533-position model. The record is from RNAcentral.
GAUGAACGCUGGCGGCGUGCCUAAUACAUGCAAGUCGAGCGAACAGACGAGGAGCUUGCUCCUCUGACGUUAGCGGCGGACGGGUGAGUAACACGUGGAUAACCUACCUAUAAGACUGGGAUAACUUCGGGAAACCGGAGCUAAUACCGGAUAAUAUAUUGAACCGCAUGGUUCAAUAGUGAAAGACGGUUUUGCUGUCACUUAUAGAUGGAUCCGCGCCGCAUUAGCUAGUUGGUAAGGUAACGGCUUACCAAGGCAACGAUGCGUAGCCGACCUGAGAGGGUGAUCGGCCGCACUGGAACUGAGACACGGUCCAGACUCCUACGGGAGGCAGCAGUAGGGAAUCUGCCGCAAUGGGCGAAAGCCUGACGGAGCAACGCCGCGUGAGUGAUGAAGGUCUUCGGAUCGUAAAACUCUGUUAUUAGGGAAGAACAAAUGUGUAAGUAACUAUGCACGUCUUGACGGUACCUAAUCAGAAAGCCACGGCUAACUACGUG